RNAcentral lists this ribosomal RNA (482 nucleotides) under uncultured bacterium. RNAcentral describes it as "partial 16S ribosomal RNA". It matches the Rfam family "Bacterial small subunit ribosomal RNA", at positions 30 to 507 of the family's 1533-position model. The record is from RNAcentral.
AUUGAACGCUGGCGGCAUGCCUUACACAUGCAAGUCGAACGGUAACGGGCCUUCGGGUGCCGACGAGUGGCGAACGGGUGAGUAAUACAUCGGAACGUGCCCGAUCGUGGGGGAUAACGAGGCGAAAGCUUUGCUAAUACCGCAUACGAUCUACGGAUGAAAGCAGGGGACCGCAAGGCCUUGCGCGGACGGAGCGGCCGAUGGCAGAUUAGGUAGUUGGUGGGAUAAAAGCUUACCAAGCCGACGAUCUGUAGCCGGUCUGAGAGGAUGAUCAGCCACACUGGGACUGAGACACGGCCCAGACUCCUACGGGAGGCAGCAGUGGGGAAUUUUGGACAAUGGGCGCAAGCCUGAUCCAGCCAUGCCGCGUGCAGGAUGAAGGCCUUCGGGUUGUAAACUGCUUUUGUACGGAACGAAAAGCCUUCUUUUAAUACAGGAGGGUCAUGACGGUACCGCAAGAAUAAGCACCGGCUAACUACGUG